GACGAACGCUGGCGGCGUGCUUAACACAUGCAAGUCGAACGGAAAGGCCCUGCUUUUGUGGGGUGCUCGAGUGGCGAACGGGUGAGUAACACGUGAGUAACCUGCCCUUGACUUUGGGAUAACUUCAGGAAACUGGGGCUAAUACCGGAUAGGAGCUCCUGCUGCAUGGUGGGGGUUGGAAAGUUUCGGCGGUUGGGGAUGGACUCGCGGCUUAUCAGCUUGUUGGUGGGGUAGUGGCUUACCAAGGCUUUGACGGGUAGCCGGCCUGAGAGGGUGACCGGCCAAAUUGGGACUGAGAUACGGCCCAGACCCCUACGGGAGGAAACGGGGGGGAAUAUUGCAAAAGGGGGGGAGGCCGGAUGCAGCACCGCCGGGUGGGGGAGGACGGCCUUGGGGUUGUAAACCGUUUUCGCCUGGGACGAAGCGUGGGUGAGGGUAAUGGGUAAAGAAGCACCGGCUAACUACGU
Molecule: ribosomal RNA, 467 nt
Filed under: uncultured bacterium
Lineage: Bacteria
Description: partial 16S ribosomal RNA
Rfam family: Bacterial small subunit ribosomal RNA
Source: RNAcentral